GCUAAUACCCCAUAGGCCUGAGGGUUAAAGCAGAGAUGCGAUAAAGGAGGCGCUCGUGCCCUAUCAGCUAGUUGGUGAGGUAACGGCUCACCAAGGCGAUGACGGGUAGCCGGCCUGAGAGGGCGACCGGCCACACUGGAACUGAGAUACGGUCCAGACUCCUACGGGAGGCAGCAGUGGGGAAUAUUGGGCAAUGGGAGAAAUCCUGACCCAGCAACGCCGCGUGAACGAAGAAGGCCCUUGGGUCGUAAAGUUCUUUUGCGCGGGAAGAAGGAAGUGACGGUACCGCGCGAAUAAGCCCCGGCUAACUACGUGCCAGCAGCCGCGGUAAUACGUAGGGGGCGAGCGUUGUCCGGAAUUACUGGGCGUAAAGGGCACGCAGGCGGCAGCGUAAGUCGGCUGUAAAAAGAUGCGGCUUAACCGUGUUAAGCAGUCGAAACUGCGCAGCUGGAGUACCGAAGAGGCAAGUGGAAUUCCCAGUGUAGCGGUGAAAUGCGUAGAUAU
This 504-nucleotide ribosomal RNA is filed under the name uncultured bacterium. Its description in RNAcentral is "bacterial SSU rRNA". It matches the Rfam family "Bacterial small subunit ribosomal RNA", at positions 162 to 697 of the family's 1533-position model. The record is from RNAcentral.